This is an RNA transcript of Mirounga angustirostris (Northern elephant seal), 559 nucleotides long. RefSeq lists it as uncharacterized. The transcript has 4 exons. Lineage: Eukaryota; Metazoa; Chordata; Mammalia; Carnivora; Phocidae. The record is from RefSeq and is a predicted model, not a curated record.
AGCUGAGGCUAAGGAGUGGGAGGUAGGAGGGCUCACAGGGGUCAGGUUCAGUCCUCACUGUCGCCUCUUUCUUCCACUGCAGAAAGUGCUUCCUCUGAUCCCACCCCGGGGGCUGCGGCCACUGAACCUGAAGGGACUACAUCUGCUGCAAAACCUGCUUCACCCCAAGAGCCAGCCCAGGAGCCACAUGGUGCCACCCCAAGUCCAGAAGAGCUAAACCCACUGAGACAUGGCUUAGAAAGAGCAAAAAAAGCAAUGCAUAAAAGACUUCAGUUUAGAGGACGUCUUUAUGAGGAUGUAGCUGAAUGGGACAAAAAUCUGAAAAACUUGGCUGCAAAACUCAAUGUAGUUGCAGUCUGAGAAGCUGAAAAGAAUGGGGUCCCUGGACUCAAAGCCUUAAACAUGCUUGCAGCCCAGCAUGAUUAAACUGAAGCAUCCAACUCGCUGUGUGUCUGUGUUCUGUGGGGUGGGUCCUGGAGGAGAUGGAGAGCAAAGCCCUACCUAGAAAGCCAAGAGGCCCUGGGUGUCCUGACCCGGGCCCUCGGCCAGUCACAGCCUG